AAUUCUUUGACAGAAAAAUGUGUUAAGUUUAGAACUUAAAAAUAGGAGAUUUCCUAAGAAUUA
Molecule: transfer RNA, 63 nt
Filed under: Frankliniella occidentalis (western flower thrips)
Lineage: Eukaryota; Metazoa; Arthropoda; Insecta; Thysanoptera; Thripidae
Description: tRNA-Leu
Source: RNAcentral